AUAAAAAAAAUACACGAGAGGACCGUGUGUUCUACACAUGAAUUUGCGCAUGUUGUCAAAGCAAAUCAAUAUCACGUGUAAAACAUAUGACAUCGCUCAUUCGAAACUCUGCAUUUGUUUAUAAACAAACCACACGGUAUUAACGUGUAAAACAAAUAGAAUUCUGUUGCUUGACUUGCCAGAGUCACUUGUUUGAUAUGUGAUAUCGAAAUGUAUUCGUGUUGAAUUUCGUUUGUUAUAACAAAAAUGCUGAACCACACCAACCAGCAUUAACGAACUGAGGCCGAAGAGUUUGUUCUAGGACAGAUCACCAAGAAAUUCAAAGGAUUGCUGCCGGAAAACGUGAUUGGUUCGGUGCUGAUGCCUACCAAUAACAGGAAGCCGCCAUGAAGUACGUACGUCGCAAAGGAUAUUCCGAAGAACCGAUACUGAGGAUUCGUCGU
This is a long non-coding RNA of Armigeres subalbatus, 443 nucleotides long. RefSeq lists it as uncharacterized. The transcript has 3 exons. The record is from RefSeq and is a predicted model, not a curated record. Lineage: Eukaryota; Metazoa; Arthropoda; Insecta; Diptera; Culicidae.